GCGAGUUGCCGACCUUGUCAUCUUGUCUCCUUCCGCGAUGCAUUUACUUCGCCGCUGUAAGUCGCAGGGAGACAUGCAUGGUUCGAGUCGGCGACGAUGGGAACUCCUCCUCCGAGCGCCAGUCAGAUCAAGCUUUUAGGAGUGAGCCUCGCUAUGCUAUAUGUACUUCCAGAUUGUGGUGAUUUUCUACUUUGUUAGUGUGUAUUAGGGCUUUGAUGAUGGUUUUGUGAGGAAUUUUAUCAGUUCAGAUUCUAUUAUAUUGGAAUCACGGGGUGGAUCAUCCUUGGGAAAUAUGAAUUUGGAAGUUUUAGUUCCAGUGAAGGUCAUUCAAUCAGUAGUGUUGAUCUGAAUAAGAAAAGAAAACUGCAAGAUGAAUUAGACAGCCAGGAAAUCUCUUCCUCAAAGCAGCGAUUUAGAGUUGGAACCUAUAUUUUUGGUCAAGGCUUGCAAAUCCGAGGGGGUUUUUCUGAAAAGCCAAUUGUUAGAGAAAUACAUAAUGAAUUUGAGCAACCCGAAGAGUCUGAGAAGGAUAGCAAUACUUUUACUGGAGCUUAUGAUAAUUCAAUGUCGUCAAAUGAAAAUUUCAUUAAUUCAACCAUUCAUCAGAACCGACAUUCAGCCUCUUUGAACAGCUACAGUAAUGAAGUUCUUAGAACUCAUUUCUAUUCCUUGGAAAGCAGAGGUAUGAAGGAAGCGAACAAUUUAGAAAUUGCAGAUUUGGAGGAUACUCUUCAGUUUGAUCCCGGAUACGAAGUUAUGGAGGAUGUGCACUAUGGUUUUGGAUUCGAUCAUACCAUCUCAGAAGCCAUGGAUGAUGCCGAAACUGUGAUUCUCUACUCCAAUGAUGUAUUAUUGUCUUCAGGGAGGUGGAACCUUGGAAAAGGUGCUCCUUUGGUGGGUGCAAGGAAGCUGACUAUCGAUCAGGAGUUCGAACAAUACUUUUCAUCUCUCUUGCUAUAACAACUUAUAAGGUAGCUUGACUCUCUAAUCAUCAAAUUCCAAUAAGAUUGGUGCACUGCUGCGUUUGUCUGCUCGAAUGUAUCGAACUUUGACAGGCGUGCUGAAACAUGGGGUCCCACAUGUGGCGCACGCCUAUCAAGGCUCGUCGGGUCAGCAUAGGCAUGCACAUUAUUUUCAUGCAAAACUACUUGAUUGAAAUUUAUCAGGGUGUCUCUCUCUCCUUUGGUGUGUAGACAUUACAAAAUCACCAAAGAACGAUAAUCCAUCACAGCAUAUGUUAGUGAGUUUUCUGUAUAGAGGUAAAGGUUAAUACCACUGAAUUUACACACCCAGCAGGAUCAUUCUGUAUUGAUCUUUUUUAGCUUUUUUUACAUUUUGUGGAUCAGAGCAAGUUUUAUUUAUUAUUGCAAUGAUGGACAACUUUAGAGAAAAA
Molecule: RNA transcript, 1393 nt
Organism: Phalaenopsis equestris
Lineage: Eukaryota; Viridiplantae; Streptophyta; Magnoliopsida; Asparagales; Orchidaceae
Gene name: protein FAR-RED-ELONGATED HYPOCOTYL 1-LIKE
Exons: 4
Source: RefSeq, a predicted model, not a curated record